GAUGAACGCUGGCGGCGUGCCUAAUACAUGCCAGUCGAGCGAACAGACGAGGAGCUUGCUCCUCUGACGUUAGCGGCGGACGGGUGAGUAACACGUGGAUAACGUACCUAUAAGACUGGGAUAACUUCGGGAAACCGGAGCUAAUACCGGAUAAUAUAUUGAACCGCAUGGUUCAAUAGUGAAAGACGGUUUUGCUGUCACUUAUAGAUGGAUCCGCGCCGCAUUAGCUAGUUGGUAAGGUAACGGCUUACCAAGGCAACGAUGCGUAGCCGACCUGAGAGGGUGAUCGGCCACACUGGAACUGAGACACGGUCCAGACUCCUACGGGAGGCAGCAGUAGGGAAUCUUCCGCAAUGGGCGAAAGCCUGACGGAGCAACGCCGCGUGAGUGAUGAAGGUCUUCGGAUCGUAAAACUCUGUUAUUAGGGAAGAACAAAUGUGUAAGUAACUAUGCACGUCUUGACGGUACCUAAUCAGAAAGCCACGGCUAACUACGUG
RNAcentral lists this ribosomal RNA (497 nucleotides) under uncultured bacterium. RNAcentral describes it as "partial 16S ribosomal RNA". It matches the Rfam family "Bacterial small subunit ribosomal RNA", at positions 28 to 507 of the family's 1533-position model. The record is from RNAcentral.